This 585-nucleotide ribosomal RNA is filed under the name Glutamicibacter endophyticus. RNAcentral describes it as "bacterial SSU rRNA". It matches the Rfam family "Bacterial small subunit ribosomal RNA". The record is from RNAcentral. Lineage: Bacteria; Bacillati; Actinomycetota; Actinomycetes; Micrococcales; Micrococcaceae.
GUGGGGCCGUGCCUUGAAAAAUAAUUGGUGCGAACGGGUGAGUAACACGUUGAGUACCUGCCCCCGACUCUGGGAUAAGCCCGGGAAACUGGGUCUAAUACCGGAUAUGACUUCCUACUGCAUGGUGGGUUGUUGAAAGAUUUAUCGGUGGGGGAUGGACUCGCGGCCUAUCAGCUUGUUGGUGAGGUAAUGGCUCACCAAGGCGACGACGGGUAGCCGGCCUGAGAGGGUGACCGGCCACACUGGGACUGAGACACGGCCCAGACUCCUACGGGAGGCAGCAGUGGGGAAUAUUGCACAAUGGGCGGGAAGCCUGAUGCAGCAACCCCGCGUGAGGGAGGACGGCCUUCGCUACAAUGGCCGGUACAAUGGGUUGCGAUACUGUGAGGUGGAGCUAAUCCCUAAAAGCCGGUCUCAGUUCGGAUUGGGGUCUGCAACUCGACCCCAUGAAGUCGGAGUCGCUAGUAAUCGCAGAUCAGCAACGCUGCGGUGAAUACGUUCCCGGGCCUUGUACACACCGCCCGUCCAGUCACGAAAGUUGGUAACACCCUAAUACGAUAGCCUUUUCCACCAGGGCGAACCCCC